GAUGAACGCUAGCGGCAGGCUUAACACAUGCAAGUCGAGGGGUAGAGGAAGCUUGCUUCCUUGAGACCGGCGCACGGGUGCGUAACGCGUAUGCAAUCUACCUUUUACAGGGGAAUAGCCCAGAGAAAUUUGGAUUAAUGCCCCAUAGUAUAGUUUUUUCGCAUGAAGAGAUUAUUAAAGUACCAACGGUAAAAGAUGAGCAUGCGUCCCAUUAGCUAGUUGGUAAGGUAACGGCUUACCAAGGCGACGAUCCUUAGGGGUUCUGAGAGGGAGAUCCCCCACACUGGUACUGAGACACGGACCAGACUCCUACGGGAGGCAGCAGUGAGGAAUAUUGGACAAUGGGCGCAAGCCUGAUCCAGCCAUGCCGCGUGCAGGAAGAAGCAUCUAUGGUGUGUAAACUGCUUUUGUACGGGAAGAAACACUCCUACGUGUAGGAGCUUGACGGUACCGUAAGAAUAAGGAUCGGCUAACUCCGUGCCAGCAGCCGCGGU
This 494-nucleotide ribosomal RNA is filed under the name uncultured bacterium. RNAcentral describes it as "bacterial SSU rRNA". It matches the Rfam family "Bacterial small subunit ribosomal RNA", at positions 28 to 521 of the family's 1533-position model. The record is from RNAcentral.